UACGUAGGUGGCGAACGUUGUCCGGAUUUACUGGGCGUAAAGCGCGCGCAGGCGGACUGAUAAGUCAGAGGUGAAAUCUCCCGGCUCAACUGGGAGGGGCCCUUUGAUACUGUCAAUCUUGAGAUGCCUAGAGGAGAGUGGAAUUCCCGGUGUAGUGGUGGAAUGCGUAGAUAUCGGGAGGAACACCAGUGGCGAAAGCGACUCUCUGGGGGCGAUCUGACGCUCAUGCACGAAAGCGUGGGGAGCAAACAGG
This 253-nucleotide ribosomal RNA is filed under the name uncultured bacterium. RNAcentral describes it as "partial 16S ribosomal RNA". It matches the Rfam family "Bacterial small subunit ribosomal RNA", at positions 524 to 776 of the family's 1533-position model. The record is from RNAcentral.